AUGCUUCGGGCGCGGCGCCUUCCAAGUCCCCUGGAACGGGGCGCCGGAGAGGGUGAGAGCCCCGUACUGUCGGACGCCAAGCCUAUGUGAAGCUCCUUCGACGAGUCGAGUAGUUUGGGAAUGCUGCUCAAAAUGGGAGGUAGACCCCUUCUAAAGCUAAAUACCGGCCAGAGACCGAUAGCGCACAAGUAGAGUGAUCGAAAGAUGAAAAGCACUUUGAAAAGAGGGUUAAAUAGCACGUGAAAUUGUUGAAAGGGAAGCGCUUGUGACCAGACUUGCACCGGGGCGAUCAUCUGGCGUUCUCGCCAGUGCACUCGCUUCGGUUCAGGCCAGCGUCGGUUCGCGCGGGGGGAUAAAGGUACUGGGAACGUGGCUCCUCCGGGAGUGUUAUAGCCCAGUGCGUCAUGCCCUCGUGUGAACCGAGGUUCGCGCUCUGCAAGGACGCUGGCGUAAUGGUUACUAGCGACCCGUCUUGAAACACGGACCAAGGAGUCGAGGUUUUGCGCGAGUGUUUGGGUGUUAAACCCGCACGCGUAAUGAAAGUGAACGUAGGUGGGAGCUUCGGCGCACCACCGACCGAUCCUGAUGUUCUCGGAUGGAUUUGAGUAGGAGCGUAAAGCCUCGGACCCGAAAGAUGGUGAACUAUGCUUGGAUAGGGUGAAGUCAGAGGAAACUCUGAUGGAGGCUCGCAGCGGUUCUGACGUGCAAAUCGAUCG
Molecule: ribosomal RNA, 716 nt
Filed under: Paragaeumannomyces sabinianus
Lineage: Eukaryota; Fungi; Ascomycota; Sordariomycetes; Chaetosphaeriales; Chaetosphaeriaceae
Description: partial large subunit ribosomal RNA
Rfam family: Eukaryotic large subunit ribosomal RNA
Source: RNAcentral